This 76-nucleotide transfer RNA is filed under the name Phycisphaerae bacterium. Its description in RNAcentral is "tRNA-Arg". It matches the Rfam family "tRNA". Rfam says of the family: Transfer RNA (tRNA) molecules are approximately 80 nucleotides in length. Their secondary structure includes four short double-helical elements and three loops (D, anti-codon, and T loops). Further hydrogen bonds mediate the characteristic L-shaped molecular structure. tRNAs have two regions of fundamental functional importance: the anti-codon, which is responsible for specific mRNA codon recognition, and the 3' end, to which the tRNAs corresponding amino acid is attached (by aminoacyl-tRNA synthetases). tRNAs cope with the degeneracy of the genetic code in two manners: having more than one tRNA (with a specific anti-codon) for a particular amino acid; and 'wobble' base-pairing, i.e. permitting non-standard base-pairing at the 3rd anti-codon position. Lineage: Bacteria; Pseudomonadati; Planctomycetota; Phycisphaerae. RNAcentral also lists the same sequence under 1 other name. The record is from RNAcentral.
UGCGCCGCUAGCUCAAUUGGAUAGAGCAUCGGUCUACGGAACCGAAGGUUCCUGGUUCGAGUCCAGGGCGGCGUGU